Molecule: long non-coding RNA, 1088 nt
Filed under: Carassius auratus (goldfish)
Lineage: Eukaryota; Metazoa; Chordata; Actinopteri; Cypriniformes; Cyprinidae
Description: lncRNA (ENSCARG00000009409.1)
Source: RNAcentral
UAGUGUUUAUUGUUAGAAAAUACUUCUAUUUUAAAUAAAUGCUCUUCUUUUUAACAUUUCAUUCAUCAAAUAAUCCUGAAAGAAGUAUCACAGUUCAGCAGCACAACUCUGAUAAUAAAUCAGUAAUGGAGUAAUGAUGCUGAAAAUCACAGAAAUAAAAUAGAUUUUAAUGUAUUUUAAAAUAGAAAAAUAUUUUUUUACUUCAUAAUAAUACAUUUUUUUAAAUCCUGUAUUUUUGAUGAUUAAAAGAAACUCCUAUAAAAACAAACAAACAUUAGAAAUCAUUCUGAUCCCAAACUCUGACCUGUGUGUGUGUGUGUGUGUGUGUGUGUGUAGCAUUUACACACUAAUCCCCACAAUAAUAAAGAUCUUAAAUACUCAUAUGAGGAGGAAACAAUGUUGCAUCAUAAUGAAAGGAUGUGUAACGUACACUUUUCUGUAAACUGAGCCAAACAUUUUUUUCACUGAUUUAGGGUAGAGUAAGAAUAUUUCACCCGAUUCGAACGUUAUCACUCGAUUGAAUGGGGCGUUAUCAGCGGUUAUCAGCCCAUAGAAAUGGGCCAGGAGGGGCCUCCUGUAACUACUAGUAGGCUCAGAAGGCCGUGAUCAUCCAUCCAAAUGGUUGAUCACCCACAAAUAUACAAGAGAAGACUCCAGAUCCAAUCCCAGAAUUCCUGCUCACCUGUAAUCGGAAGUCUACUGGACGAAAGCGGCAACGUUGCGAUAUUUCCUGCUUAAUAUUUUCAGAUAUGGGAAAAGCACUUAAGAUGAGCACACGUUUCAGGAACGUUAAAAUUAAGUUGGUGAGGAGGUCUAUUGCGGGCCCUGCAAAGUUUUCUUACCUCAGUCAAGGUCUUCCCCAGCCCAGCUACAAACAGAGCCACCCUUCAGACCCUUCUAUUACAUCUCAACCUGCUGAACCUGAUGAUGUGACACAGAGCUGUUCUGAGAGUGCAUACAGUAAGGCAAAGAAGAGAGAGCUUCAUGCCUGGGAUACAGUCAAGGAUGAGAUGCUUAAGGUGUCGUUUGAAUGUCGUCUGAAUCCACUGACGGCUCUGCACCGUUACAGUCAACAUGUGUGCGUGUGA